Molecule: unclassified non-coding RNA, 374 nt
Filed under: soil metagenome
Description: partial contains internal transcribed spacer 2 and large subunit ribosomal RNA
Rfam family: 5.8S ribosomal RNA (bases 1-120)
Source: RNAcentral
GAUGAAGAACGCAGCGAAAUGCGAUAAUUAAUGUGAAUUGCAGAAUUCCGUGAAUCAUCGAGUCUUUGAACGCACAUUGCGCCUCAUGGCAUUCCGUGAGGCAUGCCCAUCUCUGCGUUAGAAAAUAUUCUCAAAUUUUAGUUUUGUGCUAAAAUUUGGAUCAUGUCAAGGAAGCUAUUACUAUUAUUGUGAUCGCUCUUUGGAAAUUGAUAGGUCUUUGAGUUGCUACUCAUAGAACGUGAUGAAUCUUUCUUCGUUCUAUUGUAAUUCACUCUGGUAGUCCUAAAACUUGUAUGCCUGUGGCAUAUCUUGUAAUUUGACCUGAGAUUGGGUAGGGAUACCCGCUGAACUUAAGCAUAUCAAUAAGCGGAGGA